AAAAGAACAUAAGUAUAGAAAGAUUAUAUUUCCAUUAGGUUGAGUGAUCUGAUCUGACAAAUGUAUUUAAUACUACACUCAUGAUUUUAUUAUCCAUCAACUUUGUCUUGCUCACUAUGCUUGAGGUUAGAGAAGAACAAAUACACUUUUGGUUCUGUUGGUGUUUUCCACCAACAGAGCCCAUGCCCUUGAUCUCUGCCUUGUCUCUAUGAGCAGGUACACUUUGAGCAAAAUAUGAAGGACUUUUACAACUCCCAGACUCCACCAAGUGAAGAACCUAGAUCUACGAGCACAAACACACUGAGAGACAAUCCAGGACGCCCUGUCAUCCCGAUCUCCAUCGGCAUGGUGGACUUCCCAGAAGCACUCUGUGACUUUGGCUCCAGCAUCAACAUUAUGCCCAGGGUACUCUAUGAAAAAUUCUUUACACAUCCUUUAUUAGAAACAACCAUGUGUUUGCAGCUUGCAGAUCGUAUGCUAAGUUUCCCAAAGAAAAUAUUGAAGAACCUCUACGUCCGAGUUGGUACCUUAUACGCUCCAGCAGACUUCGCGGUGAUAGAGACUGAUACUGAUGAGAGGGCACCCAUCAUCCUAGCGAGGCCAUUCCUGAACACCUCAGGAGCUGUCAUCUACGCUACUGCUACCAAGAUCAGUUUCUACAUCAAGGGAAGGACGAAGACGUUUUCCUUCAAGAAUAAGACUACACAAAUCUCAGAGCAAUCCAGACAUGAACCCAGGAAGAGGACCAACAGGAGGAACAGGAACAAGCAAAUGUGGACCAAGUCAGCUAAGAUAGUCACUGCAGUUCAAGGAGGUCAUGAUCGUCGACUUAAUUCACCUUUCUUGAUCAAGAAGGACGACCCUGGUGUUCCAAGCAUCGAGUGCACAAUCAACGGAUAUUCUUUUCAGAAGACACUCUACGACACCGGAUCUAACGUCAACAUAAUGGCCGCAGUCACUUAUCAGCUCCUGCAUGGAACCAUGUCCGUACAACCAACAUACAUUCAGCUCCAGAUGAUUUUAAGGUUAUUGACAUGGGAGAAGACAAGUACGAUCCACCCAUCAUCCUUGGAAGACCGUUCCUCAGCACUGUUAAAGCAAUCAUCUACAUUGGAACCAGAGAAGUCCACAUGCACUUCCCCUCUGAGAAGGUACGCCACUGUUUUACUAACCCUAACUAUAUAGUUGAAGACUCUAAGCAGGUCAGGACAAGAAGACAACGACACAACCGCAACCAGAGGAGGCAAAUCAUCAAGGACGGAUGGGUAGACUAUGAAGGAGAAGUUGUAAGGUCUGAAGACAUACAACUUGAACAGAACUGUCCUGAGGAGACCGUAGCACCGAGUUAGGUGUGGAGAAAGAAGAUAGUUUUACACGAAGAAGAAGUGCCACCGGAACCACCGACUACGCCACCCAGCGAAUCCCAGGACGACUGAGAAUAUGGAGAGUCCCGUUCAGAGGACUUAAAAACACCGAACGCCUUGCCAAGAGGUAAAUUUGGUAGUUAUCUUUUUCCUUUCAAUUAUUUUAAAAUAGUUUGCUUAGUUAAUUAGGUUCAUAUCAUCUUGAAAAGAAAAUAAAAAUGUUAAGUAAGCCCCAUGUGAGUAUGCUCAUGGCAUAAAACCCAUAAGUACAUUCACUGUGGUGGCAUAAAAAUAAAAUAAAUAUAUUCCUGUCCUAUAAAAAUAAAAUUAUAAAAAUAGAUUUAUGAUCCUACCAAAGAGAGUAAAAUUUAUUAGAAGAAGCUCAACAUGAUAACGGCUAAGAGUUUUUAUGCUAACACUUAACUAGUUUCACAAAGCUUUGUUGUCUAUUUGAGCUCCACAGAAUUCAAGGAUCAAAGAAGACUAGCAGACGAUGGACAUCCUAAUCGCUGUGAGGGUGCUGCCGACAUACCUCCGCCACCUGCUGGCUACAUCAGAAGAAAUUACGUCAAAAUCCAGCUUGGGGGAGAGCACCCCCAUUUAUCCAGCUAAGUAUUCUACUCAUGUUUAUACUUUACUCAAAUAAUAAAAAGAUGCAUAAUCAUGAAAACCCAAAUAAAAAUUUUGUGCUUAUAUAUAUCUUUGCUUAGUUUGCUAAAUAAAUAAAUAAAUAAAGAUCGCUAUGAACCCUCAUGAUAAGCUCUCACAUGGAAAUAAUGAAUAGUUGCUCUGCCAUGACUAGUUCUCAUAAUUGAAAUCUCUCUCAAGUUUAGGCAUGACUGUUAUUAAUUAAGAUUUGCUCUAAACCUGAACUUGUGGGAAGAGUACUUGAUCUAAAGUCUAAGUCGUUAACGGAUAUGAUAUGGGAAGGUUGAGCUGCUAUUUAUCUGUUCCAAGAGAUGCUAGAAUUCUGGAGAACUUUAUCUUUGAAAAAUCUUUAAAAUAUUGCAUGAUGAGUUUCUGUAUGAUGAGAGUUUGAAUUCCUACCACAGCCAUAUAUACAUGCUUGCUAGACUAUGAACCACACAUUUACUUUACUACUUAUGAACAUUGAGUGUGGUCAAGCUGUGUAGACCCUUAGGAGCUUGUCAUGUGGUUAAAUCAAGAUUCACUUACACGUUCACUCACACAUGCUACUUCUACUCCAGAAGUACCAUCCACAUAUAUCCAUCCAUUUCCAUCUCCAGAACCACCCAAAAAUAUUCUACUCCUAAUCCGGGAGAGAAUAGCCAAAAAUAUUUCUGUUUUUCCCCUGUGAAAUAAAUGCUCAAGUUAUCUUGUUACUACCACUUGCUACAUUAUUUCAAGAGAUGAGUGCUCUAAAAAAAAGAAAAAAAAGAAAGAUACGAGGAAAUAAAAAGGGGCAAGUGCCCGGAACCUCGAAAGAAAAGAAAAAAGUGAGACGAGAGGUAAAAAUGGACAAGUGUCCGACAGUAGAAUUAGGGGUACAAGAUACCCGUUUGAGAGAAAAGAAAAAGAAAAUAUAGAGCAUCUCAUUCUCCCUGAAAGUUUCAAAAGAGCAAGAAAGGUAUGUAUCCCCUCAAAAGAGCAUAAGUAGAAUUAGACUUUCACCAUUGUUAUCACCAUCAUCACCAUACACCAUUCAUUCGCCACACAUGCACAUCUUGAUUUGACUUAUUGAUUUGUUUCUUUGGAUCCAUGGUUUGACUAUACAAUACAUGUCUUGUAAGUAUGCAUACUUUAUCUCCCACCUAUGAGCUCCAGAUAUCAAAAGCCUUAUUAGAGUAGGGUGAGAGAGAAGGCAAUGCCACUAUGCCUUAUACCACAAAUACCACAUACUUUGAGAGAAGGCAUACACCAUUAAUGCCUUGGUAAGGAUCCAGAAAUGCCACAAAAGAGAGACUAGAGAGAGUCAUACAAGGAAUCUCUGAGUUUUAUUUGAAAAUCUGCAAAAACUCUAGAGCUAUAGUUAAUCGAAGAACAAGAGACAUGGUGCUUGACUAGUCCGUUCUAUCUUUUAACUACUCAAGACAGAAGUGACGGUUACAAGUCCCAUGGUGAAAGGUAAAGUAAGUAAGUUUUAAGUCUUGAUAGUUUACCCUAACCCAGAGAUGAGAUCUUGUUUGAACGAAUGUGUAUUUUUAAGGCAUAAACCACUGCAGAAACUCUUGAGUCCAUCUUUGCUCAGGGACGAGCAAAGGUUAAGCUUGGGGGAGCUUGUUGACGGUCCUUAAUGCUCACAUUUAACCAUAAACUAAUCAUGGAAAAGGAUCUAAAUGGAACCAACACCUAGACUUAGGGUUUUAUCUGACAGAAUUCCACGAGUUUUGGUGUUUGUCUAUUUCUGCAGGGGGUUAUCAGGAAAUAAGGAAGAAAGGCCCACACGUCGGGUUUACAUAGAGAUAUUAAUGUGCCGCGCAAUUUUCUACCAUCUAGAAGACUCCAGAAGCCACGGGAACGAACGGGAGGCCGAUCGGGCCCGGGGGCAGGGCGCCCGCCCAGCUACAGUAACCAAUCAGCUUCAACUUCGCGGAUCGUGCUCCACCGACCUAAGGGACCAAGGAAAACCGUGCGAUUAAUGUCGGUUUGAUCCGACGGCCCAGAUUCACUUGAAGGGACUAUAAAACCAGACCCCCCUGGCGCCUGGAGAUCAUACCUCUUCUACAGAAUCAAAGCUAGGGUUUCAAUUCUUCAUCCAAGUAGAGAGGAUCCCUCUAGUUCUUCUAGUUCUACCUCUAGUUCAUCUAGAUCUAGUUCUAGUUCAUCUAGUUCUAGUUCUAGUUCCUCUAGUUCUAGUUCUAGUUAGUUCUAGUUGUAAUCUAGAAAAUAGGGAGAGAGAAGAGGAGAGCGGAGGAGGAGCCGGAUCUGUCGGAUCUUCCUCAACAUUGUACUUUUGCAGCAUCUGGUUCGUUCUUCAUCGUUCUCCAGGUUCUUCAACUCAUUACUCCUGAGUUCUCUAAUUACUUUUAUUUACAUUCAAGUUAUUUAUUAGAUUCCCGCUUGCAUCAAGUGCUCUAAUCUUUGAAACAUUAGAGUAGUAAUUAAUAGAUUAGACGUGGUGUUUAGUCUUGCAAUUACCUGGAAUUGCACCCAAUCCUGCGGAUUGUUGUGGUAGCCCUAGGGUAGUGACAGCCCUAACGGUCGACGUAUUCCACCACGUUCGGAUCGGUGUUUGUAGGACCGUAGUCGGAGCUUCCUAGCCCCCUUCUCAUCUCUUUCUGUGGUUAGUGUUCUGAUGUCCCGAUAUAGAUAAUCUUGAAGUAAUUCUUGAUUCUUAGAUCAACUAGAUAACUCUCAGGAAACUUCCUCUCUUCCCACAAAAAAAAUAGUUAUAUAGUUAUCCUUGGGCGAUCUUGGAUCUUAAUUAGUACACUCACGUUCCCUGUGGAAAAUCGAUACUCUGGAAUACUCCCGAGUGAAGGCUACAUCGGUAUCCGUGCGCUUGCGGAUUUUUCUGUUUGCGUUUAAAAUACCCAACAAGCUUUCUGGCGCCGUUGCCGGGGAACGGUAGCUGUGCUAGUUUCGAACCAAGUCAUCCGUGUAUCCUUUUUCUUUUCCUUUUUUACCACACUCACCUUACCAUUUUCACCACACCACAUGGAUUUCAUUCUAAGCAUUAAUGAGCAUGGAAUUUAUUUCAUAGCCACUUCACUUACUCCAUGCUCAUAUGCAACAUCUUCACAAUCCAUUGGUCUCUCCAACAUCACCACAUUCGAGAUCUCCAACCCCCACUUCCUUUCUAUUUAUAAAAACUUUAAAAGGGUGGUUGUCGAUGCAUAUGUCUAUAUUAAAUAUUGCAGAUCUCGUUGAGUUGAUCUUGAUAUAGGUCAGCGUUGGAGGGGAAACCACUUCGCCGACAUAAAUUGAUGGUUUCCCAAGGACAAGCUUAGUGUCCUAAAACAAGCACUGAUCAGAUUGUAACAUGAGCUUUUAAUUAUGUGCAACAUUACCUUGUGUAUUGAGCAUAUAAGGAUAAUUGUAAAAGAAAAAUCCUUCGGGUAUUCUUGUCACUAACUUUCCAGGAUUGGAGCAAGAAGAUCGGAUGAAUGACAAGCACAAGGUAUGUCCAACCAAUCAUCAUACAACAUUGAAUUAAAUUCAUCCAAACUUGAAUUUUGCAAAAUUCAAGCUUGGGGGAGUACUUUACAUAAAAACAUCCUUUGCCAUGUUGCUAUGUUGGUUGUCCCUACCUUUGAGACAUGCUCAAUUUGUUAAAUAGUAAUCACACUACUUCAUCUCCACUCGAGUAGAUCUCUAUAAAUGCUCUCAUGGUACCUUUAUUUGCUUUAGUAUAUGUCUAGGUUUGGAGUAGUCUCAUUUAUCUCUUAAUUAAGCAUGGUGCUUAGUUUAGGAAUGAUGAUAUUACUUCCAAAGGAUUUUAAAUUAAGCAUGAUGCUUAGGUUAAAAUUCCCUCCUAAAUCAAAUUAGACAUGGUGUCUAGGUUGAUCUUUGAGCCGAUAGUAUGCUAUAGUAGAUAUUGGAUAUUUUGUUGGACUAACCCCUGCAGGAAAACUUUCAAUAUUGACCUGGGAAGUCCUGAGAUAAACUCACAUUGGAGACAUAGAGAGAGACACAUGAAGUUUAACAAUUUACACAAGGAAGGCAUAUCUCACAAGAGAUGAUCCAUGAAGGGUGCCACAAACACGUUGCACAACCACUAAGAGAGGAAAGCUUCCACAAGGUGAUACUGUACCGUCACUCUUCAAGUAAGGUAACAUCUUAAGGUACUUGACUAUCACUUCUAUAAGCUUCUCCUUUGUUCUGGCGUUCACAUGAAUAAAAGAGACAAACAUUUAUGAUUUCCAACUCUAGAUUAACCAACCCAAUCGAUUCAACAUGUUUAGUCCUUCCAAUGUUGUGAUCCUAUACUCCUAAUCAUAUGAACUAAAAUGUUGCACACUCAAUCUUUGGAAGAUAUGUAUAUAAAAAAAACAUAAGUAUAGAAAGAUUAUAUUUCCAUUAGGUUGAGUGAUCUGAUCUGACAAAUGUAUUUAAUACUACACUCAUGAUUUUAUUAUCCAUCAACUUUGUCUUGCUCACUAUGCUUGAGGUUAGAGAAGAACAAAUACACUUUUGGUUCUGUUGGUGUUUUCCACCAACAGAGCCCAUGCCCUUGAUCUCUGCCUUGUCUCUAUGAGCAGGUACACUUUGAGCAAAAUAUGAAGGACUUUUACAACUCCCAGACUCCACCAAGUGAAGAACCUAGAUCUACGAGCACAAACACACUGAGAGACAAUCCAGGACGCCCUGUCAUCCCGAUCUCCAUCGGCAUGGUGGACUUCCCAGAAGCACUCUGUGACUUUGGCUCCAGCAUCAACAUUAUGCCCAGGGUACUCUAUGAAAAAUUCUUUACACAUCCUUUAUUAGAAACAGCCAUGUGUUUGCAGCUUGCAGAUCGUAUGCUAAGUUUCCCAAAGAAAAUAUUGAAGAACCUCUACGUCCGAGUUGGUACCUUAUACGCUCCAGCAGACUUCGCGGUGAUAGAGACUGAUACUGAUGAGAGGGCACCCAUCAUCCUAGCGAGGCCAUUCCUGAACACCUCAGGAGCUGUCAUCUACGCUACUGCUACCAAGAUCAGUUUCUACAUCAAGGGAAGGACGAAGACGUUUUCCUUCAAGAAUAAGACUACACAAAUCUCAGAGCAAUCCAGACAUGAACCCAGGAAGAGGACCAACAGGAGGAACAGGAACAAGCAAAUGUGGACCAAGUCAGCUAAGAUAGUCACUGCAGUUCAAGGAGGUCAUGAUCGUCGACUUAAUUCACCUUUCUUGAUCAAGAAGGACGACCCUGGUGUUCCAAGCAUCGAGUGCACAAUCAACGGAUAUUCUUUUCAGAAGACACUCUACGACACCGGAUCUAACGUCAACAUAAUGGCCGCAGUCACUUAUCAGCUCCUGCAUGGAACCAUGUCCGUACAACCAACAUACAUUCAGCUCCAGAUGAUUUUAAGGUUAUUGACAUGGGAGAAGACAAGUACGAUCCACCCAUCAUCCUUGGAAGACCGUUCCUCAGCACUGUUAAAGCAAUCAUCUACAUUGGAACCAGAGAAGUCCACAUGCACUUCCCCUCUGAGAAGGUACGCCACUGUUUUACUAACCCUAACUAUAUAGUUGAAGACUCUAAGCAGGUCAGGACAAGAAGACAACGACACAACCGCAACCAGAGGAGGCAAAUCAUCAAGGACGGAUGGGUAGACUAUGAAGGAGAAGUUGUAAGGUCUGAAGACAUACAACUUGAACAGAACUGUCCUGAGGAGACCGUAGCACCGAGUUAGGUGUGGAGAAAGAAGAUAGUUUUACACGAAGAAGAAGUGCCACCGGAACCACCGACUACGCCACCCAGCGAAUCCCAGGACGACUGAGAAUAUGGAGAGUCCCGUUCGGAGGACUUAAAAACACCGAACGCCUUGCCAAGAGGUAAAUUUGGUAGUUAUCUUUUUCCUUUCAAUUAUUUUAAAAUAGUUUGCUUAGUUAAUUAGGUUCAUAUCAUCUUGAAAAGAAAAUAAAAAUGUUAAGUAAGCCCCAUGUGAGUAUGCUCAUGGCAUAAAACCCAUAAGUACAUUCACUGUGGUGGCAUAAAAAUAAAAUAAAUAUAUUCCUGUCCUAUAAAAAUAAAAUUAUAAAAAUAGAUUUAUGAUCCUACCAAAGAGAGUAAAAUUUAUUAGAAGAAGCUCAACAUGAUAACGGCUAAGAGUUUUUAUGCUAACACUUAACUAGUUUCACAAAGCUUUGUUGUCUAUUUGAGCUCCACAGAAUUCAAGGAUCAAAGAAGACUAGCAGACGAUGGACAUCCUAAUCGCUGUGAGGGUGCUGCCGACAUACCUCCGCCACCUGCUGGCUACAUCAGAAGAAAUUACGUCAAAAUCCAGCUUGGGGGAGAGCACCCCCAUUUAUCCAGCUAAGUAUUCUACUCAUGUUUAUACUUUACUCAAAUAAUAAAAAGAUGCAUAAUCAUGAAAACCCAAAUAAAAAUUUUGUGCUUAUAUAUAUCUUUGCUUAGUUUGCUAAAUAAAUAAAUAAAUAAAGAUCGCUAUGAACCCUCAUGAUAAGCUCUCACAUGGAAAUAAUGAAUAGUUGCUCUGCCAUGACUAGUUCUCAUAAUUGAAAUCUCUCUCAAGUUUAGGCAUGACUGUUAUUAAUUAAGAUUUGCUCUAAACCUGAACUUGUGGGAAGAGUACUUGAUCUAAAGUCUAAGUCGUUAACGGAUAUGAUAUGGGAAGGUUGAGCUGCUAUUUAUCUGUUCCAAGAGAUGCUAGAAUUCUGGAGAACUUUAUCUUUGAAAAAUCUUUAAAAUAUUGCAUGAUGAGUUUCUGUAUGAUGAGAGUUUGAAUUCCUACCACAGCCAUAUAUACAUGCUUGCUAGACUAUGAACCACACAUUUACUUUACUACUUAUGAACAUUGAGUGUGGUCAAGCUGUGUAGACCCUUAGGAGCUUGUCAUGUGGUUAAAUCAAGAUUCACUUACACGUUCACUCACACAUGCUACUUCUACUCCAGAAGUACCAUCCACAUAUAUCCAUCCAUUUCCAUCUCCAGAACCACCCAAAAAUAUUCUACUCCUAAUCCGGGAGAGAAUAGCCAAAAAUAUUUCUGUUUUUCCCCUGUGAAAUAAAUGCUCAAGUUAUCUUGUUACUACCACUUGCUACAUUAUUUCAAGAGAUGAGUGCUCUAAAAAAAAGAAAAAACUAAGCACCACAAUAUCUUUCUUUUAUCCGAUUGGAAUUAGUUUGAUUGGAAUUAUAUACAUGUUUAGGAUCGUAUAGCGUUUAUCCAUGUGUACAGUGGGUAAAUGAUGAUUAAGUAUUGUGUAGGCGUGGUGCCUAUACCGUAUUUAUCUGCGAUUGUACCCUAUAUGCCGGAUCGUGGGGUAGUUCGUGGUAGUGACAGCUCCAUUGAUUCUUAUAUAGUCCCCCUCUCGUGUAUAGGUGUUGACACCGUUUUUGGGCACGUGUCCAU
RNAcentral lists this long non-coding RNA (9341 nucleotides) under Sorghum bicolor (sorghum). Its description in RNAcentral is "long non-coding RNA (SBIC_LNC003201)". The record is from RNAcentral. Lineage: Eukaryota; Viridiplantae; Streptophyta; Magnoliopsida; Poales; Poaceae.